UCGGGAAUUUUGGGCAAUGGGCGAAAGCCUGACCCAGCAACGCCGCGUGAAGGAUGAAAUCCCUCGGGAUGUAAACUUCGCAAGAAUGGGAAGAAUUAGCGAGCGCUAACACCGUUCGUGAUGACGGUACCAUUUGUAAGCUCCGGCUAACUCCGUGCCAGCAGCCGCGGUAAUACGGGGGGAGCAAGCGUUGUUCGGAUUUACUGGGCGUAAAGGGCGCGUAGGCGGCCAGCGCAAGUCAGUUGUGAAAUCUCCGGGCUUAACUCGGAAAGGUCAACUGAUACUGCGCGGCUAGAGUGCGGAAGGGGCAACUGGAAUUCUCGGUGUAGCGGUGAAAUGCGUAGAUAUCGAGAGGAACACCUGCGGCGAAGGCGGGUUGCUGGGCCGACACUGACGCUGAUGCGCGAAAGCCAGGGGAGCGAAC
RNAcentral lists this ribosomal RNA (424 nucleotides) under uncultured bacterium. Its description in RNAcentral is "bacterial SSU rRNA". It matches the Rfam family "Bacterial small subunit ribosomal RNA", at positions 355 to 773 of the family's 1533-position model. The record is from RNAcentral.